RNAcentral lists this small RNA (134 nucleotides) under Klebsiella pneumoniae. RNAcentral's name for it is "RtT sRNA". It matches the Rfam family "RtT RNA". From Rfam's summary of the family: This family represents a bacterial cis-regulatory element known as RtT RNA. The exact function of RtT is unknown although it is thought that it may be involved in changing the cellular response in relation to amino acid starvation. Lineage: Bacteria; Pseudomonadati; Pseudomonadota; Gammaproteobacteria; Enterobacterales; Enterobacteriaceae. The record is from RNAcentral.
UUGCAUCUGAGGCCAGUGAGGAUGAGAACCUCCGGGGGCAGGAGGUUCGACUCGAGCGAAGCGAGAGAACGUUGCGUCAGCAACGGCCCGCAGGGCGAGCCACGAAGUGGUGAGUCAUCCUCUUUCACCGACCA